This 331-nucleotide ribosomal RNA is filed under the name uncultured bacterium. RNAcentral's name for it is "bacterial SSU rRNA". It matches the Rfam family "Bacterial small subunit ribosomal RNA", at positions 568 to 898 of the family's 1533-position model. The record is from RNAcentral.
UGUGUAGGUGGCCUUGUUAAGUUCCGUGUGAAAUCUCCCGGCUCAACCGGGAGGGUGCGCGGAAAACUGGCGGGCUAGAGUGCGGGAUGGGAGAGUAGAAUUCCUGGUGUAGCGGUGAAAUGCGUAGAUAUCAGGAGGAAUACCGGUGGUGUAGACGGCUCUCUGGACCGUAACUGACACUGAAACACGAAAGCGUGGGUAGCAAACAGGAUUAGAUACCCUGGUAGUCCACGCCCUAAACGAUGCACAUUUGGUGUAGGUCAUUCAGUUGAUCUGUGCCGGAGCUAACGCGUUAAAUGUGCCGCCUGGGGAGUACAGUCGCAAGGCUGAA